GCUGGUCAAUGAUGAAACCCUUUUUAAAUGUGGACUGAUGGAUGAUGCUUGCGGAUAUGGGACUGAGGCCAGCC
Polyodon spathula (Mississippi paddlefish) is the source of this 74-nucleotide small nucleolar RNA. RefSeq annotates it as small nucleolar RNA SNORD99. The transcript has a single exon. The record is from RefSeq and is a predicted model, not a curated record. Lineage: Eukaryota; Metazoa; Chordata; Actinopteri; Acipenseriformes; Polyodontidae.